Molecule: transfer RNA, 74 nt
Filed under: Sepioteuthis lessoniana
Lineage: Eukaryota; Metazoa; Mollusca; Cephalopoda; Myopsida; Loliginidae
Description: tRNA-Ser
Source: RNAcentral
AUAUAGUUUUAAACUGGGUUAAUAAAAGUUUUGAAAACUUUUAAGAAGUGUUCGAUUCACUUAAAAACUUAUAU